UCCCCCAGAGUGAACAGCAG
This 20-nucleotide unclassified non-coding RNA is filed under the name Mus musculus (house mouse). RNAcentral's name for it is "oocyte_clustered_small_RNA5806". Lineage: Eukaryota; Metazoa; Chordata; Mammalia; Rodentia; Muridae. The record is from RNAcentral.